UUAAGGCACUACAUAGUAUUAAACUGAAGAGUUUGAUCAUGGCUCAGAUUGAACGCUGGCGGCAGGCUUAACACAUGCAAGUCGAGCGGGGAAAGGUAGCUUGCUACCUGACCUAGCGGCGGACGGGUGAGUAAUGCUUAGGAAUCUGCCUAUUAGUGGGGGACAACAUCUCGAAAGGGAUGCUAAUACCGCAUACGUCCUACGGGAGAAAGCAGGGGACCUUCGGGCCUUGCGCUAAUAGAUGAGCCUAAGUCGGAUUAGCUAGUUGGUGGGGUAAAGGCCUACCAAGGCGACGAUCUGUAGCGGGUCUGAGAGGAUGAUCCGCCACACUGGGACUGAGACACGGCCCAGACUCCUACGGGAGGCAGCAGUGGGGAAUAUUGGACAAUGGGGGGAACCCUGAUCCAGCCAUGCCGCGUGUGUGAAGAAGGCCUUUUGGUUGUAAAGCACUUUAAGCGAGGAGGAGGCUACCGAGAUUAAUACUCUUGGAUAGUGGACGUUACUCGCAGAAUAAGCACCGGCUAACUCUGUGCCAGCAGCCGCGGUAAUACAGAGGGUGCAAGCGUUAAUCGGAUUUACUGGGCGUAAAGCGCGCGUAGGUGGCCAAUUAAGUCAAAUGUGAAAUCCCCGAGCUUAACUUGGGAAUUGCAUUCGAUACUGGUUGGCUAGAGUAUGGGAGAGGAUGGUAGAAUUCCAGGUGUAGCGGUGAAAUGCGUAGAGAUCUGGAGGAAUACCGAUGGCGAAGGCAGCCAUCUGGCCUAAUACUGACACUGAGGUGCGAAAGCAUGGGGAGCAAACAGGAUUAGAUACCCUGGUAGUCCAUGCCGUAAACGAUGUCUACUAGCCGUUGGGGCCUUUGAGGCUUUAGUGGCGCAGCUAACGCGAUAAGUAGACCGCCUGGGGAGUACGGUCGCAAGA
This 918-nucleotide ribosomal RNA is filed under the name Salmonella enterica subsp. enterica. RNAcentral describes it as "bacterial SSU rRNA". It matches the Rfam family "Bacterial small subunit ribosomal RNA", at positions 1 to 893 of the family's 1533-position model. Lineage: Bacteria; Pseudomonadati; Pseudomonadota; Gammaproteobacteria; Enterobacterales; Enterobacteriaceae. The record is from RNAcentral.